UAUUGAUGAUGUGGAUAGUCCUGUAGAAUAUCUUUGAACCUCUCCUAAGCAUAAUAUAAGUUCUCAUCUGGCUUCUGUUUGAAGCUCAUAAUCUCACUGCACAGUCU
Molecule: non-coding RNA, 107 nt
Organism: Capsicum annuum
Lineage: Eukaryota; Viridiplantae; Streptophyta; Magnoliopsida; Solanales; Solanaceae
Source: Rfam